GACGAACGCUGGCGGCGUGCCUAAUACAUGCAAGUAGAACGCUGAAGCUUGGUGCUUGCACCGAGCGGAUGAGUUGCGAACGGGUGAGUAACGCGUAGGUAACCUGCCUGGUAGCGGGGGAUAACUAUUGGAAACGAUAGCUAAUACCGCAUAAGAGUAGAUGUUGCAUGACAUUUGCUUAAAAGGUGCAAUUGCAUCACUACCAGAUGGACCUGCGUUGUAUUAGCUAGUUGGUGAGGUAACGGCUCACCAAGGCAACGAUACAUAGCCGACCUGAGAGGGUGAUCGGCCACACUGGGACUGAGACACGGCCCAGACUCCUACGGGAGGCAGCAGUAGGGAAUCUUCGGCAAUGGACGGAAGUCUGACCGAGCAACGCCGCGUGAGUGAAGAAGGUUUUCGGAUCGUAAAGCUCUGUUGUAAGAGAAGAACGAGUGUGAGAGUGGAAAGUUCACACUGUGACGGUAUCUUACCAGAAAGGGACAGCUAACUACGUG
This 497-nucleotide ribosomal RNA is filed under the name uncultured bacterium. RNAcentral describes it as "partial 16S ribosomal RNA". It matches the Rfam family "Bacterial small subunit ribosomal RNA", at positions 28 to 507 of the family's 1533-position model. The record is from RNAcentral.